Cyanistes caeruleus (blue tit) is the source of this 879-nucleotide long non-coding RNA. RefSeq lists it as uncharacterized. The record is from RefSeq and is a predicted model, not a curated record. Lineage: Eukaryota; Metazoa; Chordata; Aves; Passeriformes; Paridae.
UUGAUUUUGUCCUGCCACAGGUAAUGUUUUUCUCCUGAGGUACCAGGCCAGAGGAAGAAGUCAUUCGCUCUAUUUGGGUGCUUGAGGAAACACAGAAUGAAAGAGAACCACUUGUCAUUAAAAAAAUCAAAACAGAAGCCCGACAAGAACAUCUGCCCUAAAGAGAACAAGAUACAAGAUUUCCCCUUUGGAACCAAGCUGUCAGUAUUUAGCAAAACCAGCAAAAGUCUUUCAAUUUUCUAAGCAAAUGGAGCUUUUGCAGACUGAUCAAGUGUCAAGACAUGGUAGUUGACUCAAAGCAACUAUGAUGUACACUGUACUAUCAAGGCGUUUUUAGGGACCAUUUACCUGAAUACAAUUUAUGUGGAAGGUGUCUGAGAGCCAACCCGGAUUUAUGCUUCCUCGUCCUUGUAAUAAUAGAUUUCUUUUUCUUUUUUUUUUUUUUUUCCCAUCAAAAUAAAUGUCAGAAAGUUCUUUGACUGUUCAAUAAGGGAGAAAAACAUCCUUUUUCAAAUGAAAGAAACGGUUAUGGGCAAGGAUUUGGUGUUGCUGGAAGCUCCGUGGAGCGCUCCAGCCCCAGGAACAAGGCACACAAGGACACAUUUUCCUCCAAGGUUUGCCCCAGCACCUGUUCCUGUAGCAAGUAGGGCUCAAACCUUCCUGGGGUUUGGGUUUCCCACUGACCUGGGGGAAGUCCUUGAGGCAACAGAGCAGUCUUUGCAGGACAAAGACUUCCACAAAAGCACGUUUUGGGAGGAAAAUCCUUGCCUAUAAAAAUAUUGGUUUGGAGUGAUUUGCCUAAAUCGUUCUUUCCCCUGGCAUUUCUUGGACUCUGAAAAUCCUAAUGCAGCCCAGCUCUUCAGGAGUGCUGUGUUGGGA